CUGCGGCAGGCCUAACACAUGCAAGUCGAGCGGUAACAGAGAUAGCUUGCUAUCUGCUGACGAGCGGCGGACGGGUGAGUAAUGCUUGGGAAUAUGCCUUUUGGUGGGGGACAACAGUUGGAAACGACUGCUAAUACCGCAUAACGUCUACGGACCAAAGUGGGGGACCUUCGGGCCUCACGCCAAGAGAUUAGCCCAAGUGGGAUUAGCUAGUUGGUAAGGUAAUGGCUUACCAAGGCAACGAUCCCUAGCUGGUUUGAGAGGAUGAUCAGCCACACUGGAACUGAGACACGGUCCAGACUCCUACGGGAGGCAGCAGUGGGGAAUAUUGCACAAUGGGCGCAAGCCUGAUGCAGCCAUGCCGCGUGUGUGAAGAAGGCCUUCGGGUUGUAAAGCACUUUCAGUCAGGAGGAAAGGUUAGUAGUUAAUAGCUGCUAGCUGUGACGUUACUGACAGAAGAAGCACCGGCUAACUCCGUGCCAGCAGCCGCGGUAAUACGGAGGGUGCGAGCGUUAAUCGGAAUUACUGGGCGUAAAGCGUACGCAGGCGGUUUGUUAAGCGAGAUGUGAAAGCCCCGGGCUCAACCUGGGAACUGCAUUUCGAACUGGCARACUAAAGUGUGAUAGA
Molecule: ribosomal RNA, 627 nt
Filed under: marine CFB-group bacterium SB15
Lineage: Bacteria; Pseudomonadati; Bacteroidota
Description: bacterial SSU rRNA
Rfam family: Bacterial small subunit ribosomal RNA
Source: RNAcentral